GAUGAACGCUGGCGGCGUGCCUAACACAUGCAAGUCGAGCGAACAGAUGAUGUGCUUGCUCCUCUGACGUUAGCGGCGGACGGGUGAGUAACAUAUGGAUAACCGACCUCUAUGACGGGGAUAAAUUCGUGAAACGGUAGCCUAUUCCGGAAAAUAUCUUGAGCCGGAUGGUUCAAGAGCGCAAGACGGUAUUGCUGUCACUCAUAGAUGGACCCGCGCCGCAUUAGCUAGUUGGUAAGGUAACGGCUUACCAAGGCAACGAUUCGUAGCCGACCUGAGAGGGUGAUCGGCCACACUGGAACUGAGACACGGUCCAGACUCCUACGGGAGGCAGCAGUAGGGAAUCUUCCGCAAUGGGCGAAAGCCUGACGGAGCAACGCCGCGUGAGUGAUGAAGGUCUUCGGAUCGUAAAACACUGUUGUUAGGGAAGAACAAGUGUGUAAGAAACUAUGCGCUUCUUGACGGUACCUGAACAAAAAGCCACGGCUAACUACGUG
This 497-nucleotide ribosomal RNA is filed under the name uncultured bacterium. RNAcentral's name for it is "partial 16S ribosomal RNA". It matches the Rfam family "Bacterial small subunit ribosomal RNA", at positions 28 to 507 of the family's 1533-position model. The record is from RNAcentral.